GGGUCGGCUUUAGCUCAAGCGGUUACUUCGCACAGUGUCUGUCACACUUCAAUCCCUCUACGGGGGUUCGAGACCCGCGGGCGCUUUCUGACCCUUUU
Molecule: vault RNA, 98 nt
Filed under: Zalophus californianus (California sea lion)
Lineage: Eukaryota; Metazoa; Chordata; Mammalia; Carnivora; Otariidae
Also listed under: 1 other name
Description: Vault RNA (ENSZCAG00015017978.1)
Rfam family: Vault RNA
About the family: This family of RNAs are found as part of the enigmatic vault ribonucleoprotein complex.
Source: RNAcentral